CAACAGCCACCGUUUAUUAGAUCAUAGUUAUCUACUUGGAUAACUGUGGCAAUUCUAGAGCUAAUACAUGCACGAAAGCUCGGACCUUAGGGAAAGAGCGCAUUUAUUAGACCAAAACCAAUCGAGCUUCGGCUUGUGUUUUGGUGACUCUGAAUAACUAAGUUGAUCGCACAGUCUUAGUACUGGCGACGUAUUUUUCAAAUGUCUGCCUUAUCAACUUUCGAUGGUAGGUUAUACGCCUACCAUGGUUAUAACGGGUAACGGAGAAUAAGGGUUCGACUCCGGAGAGGGAGCCUGAGAAAUGGCUACCACAUCCAAGGAAGGCAGCAGGCGCGCAAAUUACCCAAUCCCAGAAUGGGGAGGUAGUGACGAAAAAUAACGAGACAGUCCACUAUGUGGCCUGUCAUCGGAAUGGGUACGAUUUAAAAACUCUAACGAGGAUCUAUUAGAGGGCAAGUCUGGUGCCAGCAGCCGCGGUAAUUCCAGCUCUAAUAGCGUAUAUUAAAGUUGUUGUGGUUAAAACGCCCGUAGUUGGAUCUUCGGUCUUGAAGCUCGGUAGCUCGUAAGGGUUUAACUGAGUCUUCUGGCCUAAAUUUUAGUAUUCCGCUGAUGCUCUUUACUGAGUGUCUUUGGUUGCUAGAACGUUUACUUUGAAAAAAUUAGAGUGCUAAAAGCAGGCUUUAUGCUUGAAUAAAGUGCAUGGAAUAAUGGAAUAGGACUUUAGUUUUAUUUUGUUGGUUUUCGAAAUUAAAGUAAUGAUUAAGAGGAACAGACGGGGGCAUUCGUAUUGUUGCGUUAGAGGUGAAAUUCUUGGAUCGCAGCAAGACGAACAACUGCGAAAGCAUUUGCCAAGAAUGUUUUCAUUAA
Molecule: ribosomal RNA, 867 nt
Filed under: Iotonchus sp.
Lineage: Eukaryota; Metazoa; Nematoda; Enoplea; Mononchida; Iotonchidae
Description: SSU rRNA
Rfam family: Eukaryotic small subunit ribosomal RNA
Source: RNAcentral